UUGACGGGGCCGCACAAGCAGCGGAGCGUUGUGGUUUAAUUCGAUGAUACACGAAGAACCUUACCCAGGCUUGACAUGUUGGUGGUAGGGAUCCGAAAGGUGACCGACCUUCGGGGAGCCUUCACAGGUGCUGCAUGGCUGUCGUCAGCUCGUGUCGUGAGAUGUCCGGUUAAGUCCGGUAACGAGCGCAACCCUCGCUGUGUGUUAUAUGUGUCACACGGGACUGCCGGUAUCAAGCUGGAGGAAGGUGGGAUGACGUCAAGUCAGCAUGGCCUUUAUGUCUGGGGCUACACACACGCUACAAUGGCCAGUACAAUAGGUUGCAAGACCGCGAGGUGGAGCCAAUCCUUAAAGCUGGUCUCAGUUCGGAUUGCAGGCUGCAACUCGCCUGCAUGAAGUCGGAGUUGCUAGUAACCGCGCGUCAGCCAUAGUGCGGUGAAUACGUUCCCGGGCCUU
This 456-nucleotide ribosomal RNA is filed under the name uncultured Anaerolineaceae bacterium. Its description in RNAcentral is "bacterial SSU rRNA". It matches the Rfam family "Bacterial small subunit ribosomal RNA", at positions 910 to 1382 of the family's 1533-position model. The record is from RNAcentral. Lineage: Bacteria; Bacillati; Chloroflexota; Anaerolineae; Anaerolineales; Anaerolineaceae.